UAAGCCAUGCACGUGUAAGUACACGCCUUUUUAAAGCGAAACUGCGAAUGGCUCAUUAAAUCAUAUGUGAUUUCUUAGAUCGUACCGUUCCCUCGGGGACGGGUGGAUAACUGUGGUAAUUCUAGAGCUAAUACAUGCAAUCAAGCUCAGACCUUCGGGGACGAGCGCUCAUAUUAGACCAAGGCCAACCUGUGGGGAAACCUGCAGUACGCUGUGGUGACUCUGGAUAUCCAUCAGUUGAUCGCACGACCUUCGCGUCGGCGACGUAUCUUUCAAGCGUAUGCCCUAUCACCUGUCGACGUUAGGUUAGUCGCCUAUCGUGGGUGUAACGGGUAGCGGGGAAUCUGGGUUCGAUUCCGGAGAGGGCGCAUGAGAAAUGGCGACCACAUCCAAGGAAGGCAGCAGGCGCGCAAAUUACCCAAUGCCGACACGGCGAGGUAGUGACGAAAAAUAACAAUACGGGACUCUUUUGAGGCCCCGUAAUUGGAAUGAGCACAAUCUAAAUCCUUUAGCGAGGAUCUAUUGGAGGGCAAGUCUGGUGCCAGCAGCCGCGGUAAUUCCAGCUCCAAUAGCGUAUAUUAAAGUUGCUGCAGUUAAAAAGCUCGUAGUUGGAUCUCGGGUAUCGUCUCGGUGGUCCUGUUCACGCAGGCACUGCCUUGAUGACCUAACCAAUGGUUGUAAGACUCCGAGUGCCCUUCACUGGGUGCUCGUGGGUGGCCAUUGCGUUUACUGUGAAAAAAUUAGAGUGUUCAAAGCAGGCUUUUAUAGCUCGAAUAGUCGUGCAUGGAAUAAUGGAAAAUGACACUGGCGCAUUUCUGUUGGUCUCUGUGACUGGUGUAAUGAUUAAGAGGGACUGCCGGGGGCAUUGGUAUGGCGGGGUUAGAGGUGAAAUUCUUGGAUCCUCGCCAGACCAACAAAAGCGAAAGCAUUUGCCAAGAUGUCUUCAUUAAUCAAGAACGAAAGUCAGAGGUUCGAAGACGAUCAGAUACCGUCGUAGUUCUGACCAUAAACGAUGCCAGCUUGGCGGUGGCGGGAGUUGUAUUUCAUGACUUCGCCACAGCCCCCCGGGAAACCUAAGCGAUUGGGUUCCGGGGGUAGUAUGGUUGCAAAGCUGAAACUUAAAGGAAUUGACGGAAGGGCACCACCAGGAGUGGAGCCUGCGGCUUAAUUUGACUCAACACGGGGAAACUCACCCGGCCCGGACACUGCAAGGAUUGACAGAUUGAGAGCUCUUUCUCGAUUCGGUGGAUGGUGGUGCAUGGCCGUUCUUAGUUGGUGGAGUGAUUUGUCUGGUUAAUUCCGAUAACGAACGAGACUCUGGCCUACUAAAUAGUUCGCGGAUCGACUUUACCGUCAGUCCGUAAUAACUUCUUAGAGGGACAAGUGGCGCUUAGCCACACGAGAUUGAGCAAUAACAGGUCUGUGAUGCCCUUAGAUGUCCGGGGCCGCACGCGCGCUACACUGAAAGAAUCAGAGGGUCUACGAUUCCUAACCCGAAAGGGUCGGGCAAUCCGUGGAACCUCUUUCGUGCUAGGGACUGGGGCUUGUAAUUAUUCCCCAUGAACGAGGAAUUCCUAGUAAGCACGAGUCAUCAGCUCGUGUUGAUUACGUCCCUGCCCUUUGUACACACCGCCCGUCGCUACUACCGAUUGGAUGGUUUAGUGAGACACUCGGACCGGCCCGCCUUUUGGUGUGUCUUCGGAUGCGCCUUGGUGUGUGCUGGGAAGAAGGUCAAACUUGACUGUCUAGAGGAAGUAAAAGUCGUAACAAGGUUUCCGUA
This 1780-nucleotide ribosomal RNA is filed under the name Floriprotis sabiuraensis. RNAcentral's name for it is "SSU rRNA". It matches the Rfam family "Eukaryotic small subunit ribosomal RNA". The record is from RNAcentral. Lineage: Eukaryota; Metazoa; Annelida; Polychaeta; Sabellida; Serpulidae.